GACGUAGGAGGCGAGCGUUGUCCGGAUUCAUUGGGCGUAAAGAGCGCGCAGGCGGCUUGGUAAGUCGGAUGUGAAAUCCCGAGGCUCAACCUCGGGUCUGCAUCCGAUACUGCCCGGCUAGAGGUAGGUAGGGGAGAUCGGAAUUCCUGGUGUAGCGGUGAAAUGCGCGGAUAUCAGGAGGAACACCGAUGGCGAAGGCAGGUCUCUGGGCAUUAACUGACGCUGAGGAGCGAAAGCAUGGGGAGCGAACAGG
RNAcentral lists this ribosomal RNA (253 nucleotides) under uncultured bacterium. RNAcentral's name for it is "partial 16S ribosomal RNA". It matches the Rfam family "Bacterial small subunit ribosomal RNA", at positions 524 to 776 of the family's 1533-position model. The record is from RNAcentral.